This 312-nucleotide ribosomal RNA is filed under the name Parotocinclus maculicauda. RNAcentral's name for it is "partial 12S small subunit ribosomal RNA". It matches the Rfam family "Bacterial small subunit ribosomal RNA", at positions 868 to 1348 of the family's 1533-position model. The record is from RNAcentral. Lineage: Eukaryota; Metazoa; Chordata; Actinopteri; Siluriformes; Loricariidae.
UCCGCCAGGGACUACGAGCACAGCUUAAACCCAAAGGACUUGGCGGUGCCUCAGACCCACCUAGAGGAGCCUGUUCUAGAACCGAUAACCCCCGUUAAACCUCACCACCUCUUGUUUCUCCCGCCUAUAUACCGCCGUCGUCAGCUUACCCUGUGAAGGCCCAACAGUAAGCUAAACGGGCCCAGCCCAAAACGUCAGGUCGAGGUGUAGCGUACGAGAUGGGAAGAAAUGGGCUACAUUUUCUAUCACAGAACACCACGAACAGCGCCCUGAAACAUGACGCCUGAAGGAGGAUUUAGUAGUAAAAGCAAA